GGUGAUGGCUCAGCGGUAGAGUGCUUGCCUAGCACGUGUGAGGCCCUGGGUUUGAUCCUCAGCACCA
Molecule: transfer RNA, 67 nt
Filed under: Marmota monax (woodchuck)
Lineage: Eukaryota; Metazoa; Chordata; Mammalia; Rodentia; Sciuridae
Description: tRNA.Ala
Source: RNAcentral